GGUGAACGCUGGCGGCGUGCUUAACACAUGCAAGUCGAACGGAAAGGCCCAAGCUUGCUUGGGUACUCGAGUGGCGAACGGGUGAGGAACACGUGGGUGAUCUGCCCUGCACUUCGGGAUAAGCCUGGGAAACUGGGUCUAAGACCGUAUAGGACCACAUCUUGGAUGGUGUGGUGGAAAGUUUUGAGGUGUGGGAUGAGCUCGCGGCCGAUCAGCGUGUAGGUGGGGUAAGGGCCUACCAAGGCGUCGACGGGUAGCCGGCCUGAGAGGGGGUACGGCCACCUUGGGACUGAGAUACGGCCCAGUCUGCUACGGGAGGCAGCAGUGGGGAAUCUGGCACAACCGUACCAAGCCUGAUGAAGCGACGCCGCGUGGGGGAUGCCGGCCUUCGGGUAGUGAACACCUUUCGCUAGGGACGCAGCGCAAGUGACGGUACCUGAAGAAGAAGCACCGGCUAACUACGUG
Molecule: ribosomal RNA, 465 nt
Filed under: uncultured bacterium
Lineage: Bacteria
Description: partial 16S ribosomal RNA
Rfam family: Bacterial small subunit ribosomal RNA
Source: RNAcentral